Molecule: ribosomal RNA, 465 nt
Filed under: uncultured bacterium
Lineage: Bacteria
Description: partial 16S ribosomal RNA
Rfam family: Bacterial small subunit ribosomal RNA
Source: RNAcentral
GCCGAACGCUGGCGGCGUGCUUAACACAUGCAAGUCGAACGGAAAGGCCCAGCUUGCUGGGUACUCGAGUGGCGAACGGGUGAGUAACACGUGGGUGAUCUGCCCUGCACUCUGGGAUAAGCCUGGGAAACUGGGUCUAAUACCGGAUAUGACCAACUGUAGCAUGGUGGUUGGUGGAAAGCUUUUGCGGUGUGGGAUGGGCCCGCGGCCUAUCAGCUUGUUGGAGGGGUAAUGGCCUACCAAGGCGACGACGGGUAGCCGACCUGAGAGGGUGAUCGGCCACACUGGGACUGAGACACGGCCCAGACGCCUACGAGAGGCAGCAGUGGGGAAUAUUGCACAAUGGGCGCAAGCCUGAUGCAGCGACGCCGCGUGAGGGAUGACGGCCUUCGUGUUGUAAACCUCUUUCACCAGGGACGAAGCGUGAGUGACGGGACCUGGAGAAGAAGCACCGGCCAACUACGU